Oryza sativa Japonica Group (Japanese rice) is the source of this 124-nucleotide non-coding RNA. NCBI's taxonomy places the organism in Eukaryota, Viridiplantae, Streptophyta, Magnoliopsida, Poales, Poaceae. The record is from the annotation of a RefSeq genome assembly.
GAGCAAUACCAAAGUGUUUCAAAGAAGGAUUACCUUGACUUAGGUCUGCCUCCGGCCUAAAUUAAAUCAACCUAAGUUAAAUGGAGUCUCUAUCGUUCUGCUGCAAGAGUGGAAUAUGAGACUU